CCUACGGGAGGCAGCAGUGAGGAAUAUUGGUCAAUGGACGAGAGUCUGAACCAGCCAAGUAGCGUGAAGGAUGACUGCCCUAUGGGUUGUAAACUUCUUUUAUAUGGGAAUAAAACGUUCCACGUGUGGGAUUUUGUAUGUACCAUAUGAAUAAGGAUCGGCUAACUCCGUGCCAGCAGCCGCGGUAAUACGGAGGAUCCGAGCGUUAUCCGGAUUUAUUGGGUUUAAAGGGAGCGUAGGUGGAUUGUUAAGUCCGUUGUGAAAGUUUGCGGCUCAACAGUAAAAUUGCAGUUGAAACUGGCAGUCUUGAGUACAGUAGAGGUGGGCGGAAUUCGUGGUGUAGCGGUGAAAUGCUUAGAUAUCACGAAGAACUCCGAUUGCGAAGGCAGUUCACUGGACUGCAACUGACACUGAGGCUCGAAAGUGUGGGUAUCAAACAGGAUUAGAUACCCCAGUAGUC
Molecule: ribosomal RNA, 460 nt
Filed under: uncultured bacterium
Lineage: Bacteria
Description: partial 16S ribosomal RNA
Rfam family: Bacterial small subunit ribosomal RNA
Source: RNAcentral